AUUUCGACUUGUUCUUCUCUUCCUCAGCUCUGUUCUGCUUCGGGACCUUGACCUGAGCGAGGACAGCGAUGCGGAUCAGGCGUCGGAAGAUAACAAAACCAGUGCCAGCCAGUCCAAGAAGGGCAAGGUCAUCGACGCCAACGAGAAGAGGUGAGUACUCCUUUAUUGAUUUACACGUUUUAAUCAGGAUAAACAGGUAGUAGUUCUUACUCUUUUUUUCUUUCUUUCCUUUUAUUGUUUCUGUUUU
Long non-coding RNA from Aplysia californica (California sea hare), 247 nucleotides. RefSeq lists it as uncharacterized. The transcript is spliced from 2 exons. The record is from RefSeq and is a predicted model, not a curated record. Lineage: Eukaryota; Metazoa; Mollusca; Gastropoda; Aplysiida; Aplysiidae.